This 492-nucleotide ribosomal RNA is filed under the name uncultured bacterium. RNAcentral describes it as "partial 16S ribosomal RNA". It matches the Rfam family "Bacterial small subunit ribosomal RNA", at positions 28 to 507 of the family's 1533-position model. The record is from RNAcentral.
GAUGAACGCUAGCUACAGGCUUAACACAUGCAAGUCGAGGGGAAACGGCAUCGAAAGCUUGCUUUUGAUGGGCGUCGACCGGCGCACGGGUGAGUAACGCGUAUCCAACCUGCCCAUCACUUGGGAAUAACCUUGCGAAAGUAAGACUAAUGCCCAAUGACAUCCCACGAAGGCAUCCGAAUGGGAUUAAAGAUUUAUCGGUGAUGGAUGGGGAUGCGUCUGCUUAGCUUGUUGGCGGGGUGACGGCCCACCAAGGCAACGAUCAGUAGGGGUUCUGAGAGGAAGGUCCCCAACAUUGGAACUGCGACACGGUCCAAACUCCUACGCGAGGCAGCAGUGAGGAAUAUUGGUCAAUGGGCGAGAGCCUGAACCAGCCAAGUAGCGUGCAGGAUGACGGCCCUAUGGGUUGUAAACUGCUUUUAUAAGUGAAUAAAGUGGGUCACGUGUGACUUUUUGCAUGUACCUUAUGAAUAAGGACCGGCUAAUUCCGUG